Pieris brassicae (large cabbage white) is the source of this 467-nucleotide long non-coding RNA. RefSeq lists it as uncharacterized. NCBI's taxonomy places the organism in Eukaryota, Metazoa, Arthropoda, Insecta, Lepidoptera, Pieridae. The transcript has 2 exons. The record is from RefSeq and is a predicted model, not a curated record.
CAAAAGCGUCAAACAAUCAAACUUUUCUUGUAUUGUAAACAUUUAACUUCUGAGAAACAAUUGAAAAGCAAGUAUUAAACACGAAACCCAUUAUAUUUUCAUUGCAUUCUGUUAAAUAGACCGAUAAUGUUAUAUUUCCGAUUUACACUGAUAUGUGUUAUAAUUAGUUUUACCCACGGAUAUGAUAAUGACAAGAAAUCUAGACACGUACGACAUGUAGAAACACUAACUGAGUCAAAUCUUUCUCACAUUUUAAAUACGAUUGCGAAGAAUUAUCCCGAAUUAAAGAAAACUGGCGAGAAGCAAUCCAUCGAAAAGAUCAAGGAACAGCUUAGAGUAAAAUUAAGAGAAUAUGUGAAGAGAAGAAAGAAUAAUAUAAAACGGAGAAGAAAAAUCAAUACAAAUUCAAACUUAUAAAAUAUUGCACGAAUUAUUUCUUCCCGGAAUUAAUAAAUUUCUUUAAACGA